This 27-nucleotide non-coding RNA is filed under the name Mus musculus (house mouse). Lineage: Eukaryota; Metazoa; Chordata; Mammalia; Rodentia; Muridae. The record is from RNAcentral.
UAGACUUUAUUAAAUCUUCUGGGGUCC